AAACAAACUAACCAAAACAAAACCUAAACCUUCCAACGUUUGCCUCAGGGAUUUCCAAUGCACAUGACAUGUUAAAGGUUGUUAUCCCCACAAAUUUGAGUCAUCUUUACACAAGCACAUACUUAAUUAAAGCCACUACUCACUAGUUCACAAGUAAUCAAUUAAAACAAUGCUUUGAAUGUAGUAACAUGCCUUAGAAAGUUCCCUCAAUUCCUUACAAGAUAUACACUCUAUUUUCACUCAGAUUUUCUAACUCCACACCCUACACUAGUCAUAUGUGAGAAGAUUGAUGUAAAUAUGGAAACGAAUGCUCACAUAUAUGUAUCACAAAGAACGCAAUUUCUAGAGUUAAGAAGCAUGUUUAGAUAUGAUCUCAUGAAUGGAAUGCUACUACUUAGAUGCGAGAACCAGUGACACCAUAUGCUCAUACCAAAUUCAAACUCCACAAAUUGAAACACAUAACACUCAAGAUAGAAGUUAAGGGUUGUAAUGGGGCUUGGGGUGUUGGUUAACAAGGAAAGGAUAGGGAAAACAAACGUUCUUCAAGCAAUAGUAAGCACAGCAAUGAAAUUGAGACUUAGAAUUCACUUAGAUUGCAGAAAUUAACUUUAAAACACAAGGGGGAGACUUAAACAACUCCUUAGGGUCAAAUUCAUUGUUUUGGACCCUUACUUCAACAAACAAUACUUUGGAACUCUUUUUCUCAACUUUUCAACUUUUUUUUCAUUCUUCUCGUAUUUUUUUUUUCUUCAAUUUUUCUUUUCUUUGCCGUGCCUAUGGCACACAAUUCCUCAUGAAAAACACUUCCCCCACACUUAUUUUCUGCUAACAUAGAUCACAAGGAAUUCAAUUCGAAUCAUGCUUUACUAUGCUUUAAGAACAAGGGUAUGGAUAGUCCUAAUCUAAGGCUAGGUGAGGGUAAUGUGGGUUAACAAAGAAAAGGCUAAACAAGGCUCAACGGGGUUAAACUUAAACAUAUAAUGGAGUAGGGCACACGGCUUUUUGGCUAAGGUGGUGGUCACUACACAACUUCAUCUUGAAUAUGUGUUAUGCAAUUCAAUGACAUGCUUUGAAUGAAAUGGGCAUGAGUUCUAGCAUUUGGAACUAAAUGAUGAAACGCCUUCUAAGUAGUAACCAAGCAAAGAAUAAUGAGAUCAUGCAACGACUUAGAAAACAAAGAAUGCACAGAUUUUAACUCUCCAAAUAAACGUUUAGGCUCAAGUCUCACAAGGUUGUAGCGUUAGUUUGAGUUCCUUCCUUCAAGCAUGUUACAAAAACUGAUUUUUUUCUUUUAUGAUUGCAUGUGAAUUCAUAAGUUAUAACCACAACUAAGCAUACACAAAGAGUAAAUCAAACUUUCAUCCAUGUUAAUCACUCUCUUUAACAGCCAUGUAAUUACAAACCGAAUCCUCAUCAUUGUGUUGGAAGGUACCCUAAGACACAAACAAACACACAAAAACAACUCUUUUUGGGUUUUUAAAACAAAUUUUUCAAAUUUUUAUGUAAUUUUCGGAUUUUUACUUCAAAACACAUUAAAACACAUCAAAACUGCUCAAAAACACUUAAAAACAGCAAGGAACAAGUCUUCAAGUUUAGGGUGAUAAAAUCCCACGAAUUUGCAUCUAAAACACUUAGUUACCCCCCCACACUUAAAUCAAACAUUGUCCUCAAUGUUUCAAGCAUAAAAUCACACUAAAAAAAAAGAAACACACAAACAGCAACUAAAACAACUAAAUAGGCAGAUUCGAAAUAAAUAACAAAGGGAAGAGUUUAGGAACGCAAAUCUGGAAUUGGAGUGAUUCCUUGGUCUUCCUUUGUUGAAUUGCAUGGGUUGCCUCCCAAGUAGCGCUUUCUUUUACGUCUUGCAGCCGGACGAAAAACACAAUCAUGCCCUAUUGGAGCCCACGGCACUCUCAUACAUUGCAUCUUUGAACGGUAAUGGAUAGUGAUGUUCGUUGAUGGGUGCGUUGUGUUGCCUAAGGUUCACGUACAUGCGCCCACCAUCGGGGAUUUGCUUGGGUACCUGCACCAUAGAAGGGAACCACCUCUUAAUUUUAAUGGGAAUUGGAUUUGGACUAGGUGCCUUACCUUGGUGUUGUGAUGAAGUGGCAGCAACAUGAACUGUUUUCCUCAUGGUAUUCUCGGCCACAUGGGGUAUCUUAAGGGCAGUGGCCGUGGGGUCCUCAUGCUCCACUCCAAUUCCCUCAUCUUGCAUGGUUCUUGAAGCAACCUUUGUGUUAGGGGCUGAAUGAUCCGUCCCUAUCUUUUCUAUCGUAUCAAUAACACAACAAGAACGAACAACGUUAGGAGUCUCAAUGGAUUCAGGAAUUUUAAAACAAAUCAUAUCACCACCAAAUGCCAUAGUUACUUCUCCUUUGGCUACAUCAAUCUUGGUUUGAGCCGUUUUCAUGAAAGGCCGUCCAAGGAGAAUGGGCAAUGAAGGAGCAUGGUCCGAUUCAUCCAUUUCGAGGACAUAGAAAUCCGCCGGGAAGACUAAAUGAUUAACCUGCACAAGAACAUCUUCCAAAACUCCCUUUGGAUAGGCGUUAGAUCUAUCAGCCAAUUGUAUUAUUACACCAUCCUGUUUAAGUGCUCCUAGAUUCAUAGAUGCAUAAACAGAAUAUGGCAUAACAUUAAUAGAUGCUCCUAAAUCUAGCAUGGCAGAUUUGAAACGGGUAUUACCAAUGACACAUGGAAUUGUAAAGCUCCCCGGAUCUUUGCAUUUGGGGGGUAGUUUACGUUGCAAGAUGGCGGAGACAUUCUCGCUUACAUGUACCACUUCUUUCUCCCGGGCACGUUUCUUUGUCGCACAAAGCUUCUUUAAACACUUGGCAUACUUCGGGAUUUGCUUUAUUGCAUCAAGGAGGGGAAUGUUGACAUUGCACCUUUCCUAAACGUCUCUAGAACAUCUUUUUCCUCCUCUUCGUUCUUGGAUUGCAAAAAUCUACUAGGAAAGGGGACAUUCAAAGGAAAAACAUUAGUAGGACUUGAAUUUAACACAUUCUUACCCUUAUUGGACAGAUUUGCAGGUUUAGGGUCAUUGGAGGCUUGCGGCAAAGGUGGAACCACCCUUGCCGUGGGUUGCUUUGAUUCCUCCUCUUCCAUUUGCAAAAUUUCAUCCUCGUUAUGACCUGUUUUUGAUGAAGAACCUGCCCCAACUUCUUUUCCACUCCUUAGCAUGAUUGCAUUUGCGGUUUCAAAGCCUCCUUUUGGAUUCGCAAUGGUUGAACUAGGAAGCUUUCCUUGUUCUCUAAACUGCCCAACAAACUCGGCAAUCUGCCCAAUUUGUUUCUCAAGUUGAUCCACCCUUUUGUCUUGGAUUUGCAUAGCCUUAGCUUGAUCUUCCUGUCCAUUAGACAACUUAGUUAGUAUCUUAAGAAGUGCAUCAUUGUCAAGAGACGUACCUGAGGCACUUGGGCCGGAUUGGGCUUGAUUUUGGGGUGGGCCGUAGGUUUUGGGAAAGAACCCCGGGGGUUGUUGCCUAAAGCCUCCUUGGUUCUGAGGUUGCUGGGGCUCCCUCCAUUUGAAGUUUGGAUGGUCCCGCCACCCCGGAUUAUACGUGUUGGAGUAUGGAUCAUGCCUUGACUGAUUUUGGCUUUGAAACCCAAUGGCAUUCGCACUCUCCCAUUCGCCAUUCUCGAUGAGUUGAGGACAUUUUUCGGAGACAUGUCCUUGGAUAGAACAUACGCCACACACCACAGGUCCUUGUAUCUUCAUUCCCUCGGCCAUCUGUGAAACAAUAGAAGUAAGAUUAGCCAAUUGUGAAUGAAGAUCGGAAGUUGAACUUACCUCAUGUACUUGGUGCCGUGGGGGUCCCCUUUGGCCUACACCCUCGUAUUGUUGAGCGUUCAACGCUCUAUUAGCAAUCAAGACCUUGGCAGCCAUGGGUGUUUUGUCCACUAAUGCCCCCCCCGCCGAAGCAUCAAGCAUUUGACGUUCUAGAGGUAAUAGACCCUCGUAGAAAUAUUGCAAAAGCAACUCCUCCUUCAUCUGAUGCUGUGGACAAGAAGCAACAAGUGAUUUAAAUCGUUCAUAAUAUGUAGAGAAAGACUCACCUUCUUCUUGCUGAAUUCCGCUUAUCUUUUUGCGUAGGAGGAUGAUGCGAGAAGUUGGAAAGAACUUCUCCAAGAACGCUCUCUUCAUACUCUCCCAAGAAGUGACAGUGCCGGGAGCUAACUCAUAUAACCAAUCCUUGGCUUUAUCCAUCAAAGAGAAUGGAAAAGCCUUCAUCUUCAAGAUAUUUCCGUCAACAUUGACGGGAGUCAUACUAGAGCAAACUACUUCAAAUUCUUUCAAAUGUUUGUUAGGAUCUUCCAUGGACAAGCCAUGGUAUUUAGGAAUAUGAUGAAGCAAACUUGACUUUAAUUCAAACUCAUCCGUCUUACCUUGGGCAGCCGCGGGGUAUUGGAUGCACAAGGGUGUGCGGCAUUAUCCAAACCCGAGGCGGAAAGCUCCUUGAGUGUACGAUUGUCCAUGGCCAUGCCUUGGACUUCUUCAAAUAUCCCUGCCGUGGCUUCCUCCUCCUCUUCUUGUAUGUUUUCUUCAAGGUCAGAUUCGGAAUUGAGUGGAGGGUGUUCUUGCUGAUUUCUAGCUCUUCUCAAAUUCCUCUCAAAAUCGUCGUCAAAAUCCAAGAUGUUCACACGAAUCGGUUGAGAGCUUCUAGUCAUACAUUAGUACCUAAGAACAAGAAACAAAAUUAGGUCAGAAACUUAAACAAAGUCAGAAACAAAGUGAAAUAAAAGAAACAAAAACAAUCCAAGGGAUUAGCAAAAUUGCUAAUCCCCGGCAACGGCGCCAAAAAUUUGAUGUGAAAAUUAACUUGACACACAAAUUAAACCCUCUUUUUGUCAAAUUGUAGCAAAGAUGUAAGUAGGGAUCGUUCUAGACCGGGGAUUAGGAGGGAUUGCUAAACGCUUGGAAACUGACUUAAACACUCAAAAACAAAGUUAAAAACACUAAACUAGACUCAAAGAAUGCAAAACUAAAAGUUAAAACACUUAAACAAACCUAAAAACCAAAACAGCAACUAGAAGGCUCAAAACUGCCUAAAAACCACUUUCUGGGCAGUUUUGAGCACCUACACUAAUUUGGACGAAAUUUGAUGAAAACUUGAAUCAAAAUACUUAGAAACACAAAUCAAAACACUUUCUAACUAAUCUAAGACUUCAAAUUAAAGGGGGAUUUGUUUUGGACGAAAAUUAAACUAAAGAAAACAGAUUGGAAAUAGGGCAGAUUGUAAAAACGAUUUUGGUGAAAUAGAUGGUUAAAAGGCUAGUUAGGAGGUUCUUCUCCACACAUGUCACACUUGCAAACAAAACGAUUUUCAGUUGUUCUUCCGAUAAACUUAUGAAUACUCAACGCCCCAAGUUAACCGUGAAUUACACUAAUUAACCCUCAGUUUUUCCACAAGUUAUUAAGUUGGAUGAUUGCAUAUGACAACCCAAAACAUUCCCUACAAGUUCCCUACAUGAAUUGCAUAAUAGAGAUACAAGCAAGAAUCAUUACGUUCUAUGAAAAAACAUAAGCAUUGACGAAGCAUUUGUUACUAUGAAUUGCAUGAAACUUAUGCUAAGAAUUCAUUCAACGCGAUCGUUUUCAAGCGAUCUUCACUACUUGUGAUUAUAAGAUUGUAACUAUUAGGUGAAACUCCCUCAUAAUCUAGCAUCAUAUUCAUGCAUGAAAACUAAGCGUGCACUCUCAAUCAACAUACACAAAUAAGUUUAUCAAUCAAAUAGAUGAACGAAUUGAAUCCAUAACUUAUGAAAUAACAACUGAAUGUAAUCGAAUCAAAUUGCAAGCAUGUACAUGGUUUCGAAUCACCCCCCAACUAAGGGGGUUUAGUUCCUCAUACUCACAACACAAAGUUUAUUGAAUUGAAACAUCGAAGACAUAAGAAAGAUUACACCUAAAAUGCCAAAGAAUUCCACUUUGAAUUCUGCACAGCAAGCUCCUCUUUCUUCUUCUCCUUGCUGCGGCAGAGAGGGUUUAGGGGAUUUUUGGGUAGUUUUGGAUGAUUUUGGACGAGGGAGAAUGGUGGAAAAUGUCUAGGAUGGGUGUAGGGCACGGCUAGGAAGGUUUGGGGUCAGAAAAUAUGGAGUUGGGUGAAGGUUGGGCUCGGCAAAGGUGAGGGACAGGUUCUGGCGUGAAUGGAGUUUUCUGGAUGUGUUUUUGGGUUUUUGAAAGGUAGAUAGGAUAGUAUGGUGGUGCGGCAAGGUGUGUGGAAUGGUUUAUGGAGGUGGAGAAUGGUGUAUGGAUGUGUGGAAUGGUGCUGGAAUGGAUGGAAGCUGCGGCAAAAGGUGGGAAAGGUUGCUGGAAUGGGUGGUGGCUGCGGCAAGGAGGGGAUUUGGGUGAUGGUGAUUUUCUGAUUUGUGUAGAGGGAAUGAUGAUGUGCGGCUAGGGUUUAGAAAUAUAUAUAUAGGCAUUUAAAAACCCUAGCAAAUCAGAUUAGGGCCUCUAAAACACAAAUCCAUCAGAAAUUAGGUUGAAACAAUUAGACAUUUAGUGGGAAAAAGGGCCUAGGGUGCGGCUGGUAUGUGGGCUAAGGUUAGGGUUUCUAGAAACCCUAACAAGGCAAGGCAAAGUGAUUCUAGAGGGCCCAGGUGCGGCAUAGGAUGAAGGUCCAUAAGGAAUUUGGGUUUAGGUCAUCUAAAAGCCCAAAGCCAAGAAUAGAAACUCACGAAAAUGGAAACCUCCAAGAAUAGAAACUUCCAACUUUUAGAAACUUGGGUUGCCAAUUCCGGUUUAGGAAAGAUCAACCCAAAAUGGAAACUUUUAGGCUUAGCUUUCCUACAUCAAGUAGGAAACCUCAAAUCUUCAACUCUUCAAUUCCAUCCCAACCUUGUGUUCCAAGCAUGUCCUUUUCAAUCCAAGCUCACUUUCUUGCUCCAAAAGCUCCAACUUGCAUCAUUUCAUGUAAUACGUCCUUUAACCUGAAAACACAUGAAAGUAGCUUAAAAGACUACUUUAACGAAGAAAACAUAACAAAAAUGCAUAAGAACUAGCUAACUAAGGCGCAUAAAUAUGCUCCUAUCAAAUGCCGUGGUCUUCUCUUUGUAAAUUCGAGCAUUCUCAUAAGCUUCAUGCCUAAUCUCUUCAAGUUCACUCAAUUGAAGCUUUCUAUGAAUUCCAGCUUGGUCCACAUUCAAAUUGAAUGUCUUGAUAACCCAAUGUGCCUUGUGUUCUAAUUCCACGGGAAGAUGACAUGGUUUGCCAUAAAUGAGCCGAAAUGGAGACAUACCAAUGGGUGUUUUUAAGCCGUACGAUACGCCCGUAGUGCAUCAUCUAAAUGCAAGCUCCAAUCUUUUCUAUUUGGCCCAACGGUCUUCUUCAAAAUCUGUUUGAUUUCCCUAUUUGAAACCUUGGCUUGGCCAUUUGUUUGGGGGUGAUAAGGCUUUGAAACUUUAUGCGUCACAUUAUACUUCUUAAGUAGCGCCUCAAUGGUGUGAUUGCAAAAAUGAGACCCCCCAUCACUUAUGAGCACCCUAGGCAUCCCAAAUCUGGAAAAGAUGUUAGAUUUCACAAACUCUGCAACAACUUUAGAAUCGUUAGUUCGGGUGGCUUUUGCUUCCACCCACUUCGAAACAUAAUCAACCGCAAGUAAACCAAAAGAUGAAGGAAAAGAACCCAUAAAAUCGAUACCCCAAACAUCAAAAAUUUUAACAAGGAUGGGAACCUGCGACAUUUGGUCUUUUUGGCCUAUAUUUCCUGUCCUUUGGCAACGAUCACAUGUUAAGCAAAAGGUUCUAGCAUUUUUAAACAAAGUAGGCCAAUAAAAUCCACAUUCAAGAACCUUAAAAGCUGUCCUUUGGGUGCCAAAAUGACCCCCACAUGCAUAGGUGUGGCAGAAACUUAAAAUUGAAUGAAAUUCGGACUCAUGCACACACCUACGUAGAAUCUGAUAUGGGCAAUAUUUCCACAAGUAUAGGUUAACCCAAACAUAAAAUCUGGCAUCCUUUUUAAGUUUAUCACGUUGGAACUUGUUAAGAGUGUUGGGAACUUGUUUAGACACCAAAUAAUUGACCAAAUCAGCAUACCAAGGCUCACUUACCUUAAUGGACAGUAGUUUCUCAUCUGGAAACAUUUCUGGAAUGGGAAUGGACUUCUCUUCACCCACCAAUCGACUUAAGUGAUCAGCCACCACGUUGUCACUCCCUUUCUUGUCUUUAAUUUCAAUAUCGAACUCUUCAAGAAGAAGCAUCAGACGAAUGAGUCUUGGUUUUGCUUCUUUAUUUGUGAACAAGUACUUCAAGGCUGCAUGAUCAGUGAAAAUAAUGACUUUAGUGCCAAUUAAAUAAGAUCGAAACUUAUCUAAUGCAAAUACAACAGCCAAUAGUUCUUUUUCAGUUGUGGAAUAGUUCAAUUGAGCAUCAUUUAAAGUACGGGAAGCAUAAUAAAUAACAUGUGGCUGCUUGUUUUUCCUUUGUCCUAAAACAGCUGAUGCGAAAUAUAUAAGCACACAAAUUAAACUCUCUUUUUGUCAAAUUGUAGCAAAGAUGUAAGUAGGGAUCGUUCUAGACCGGGGAUUAGGAGGGAUUGCUAAACACUUGGAAACUGACUAAAAAACUCAAAAACAAAGUUUAAAACACUAAACUAGACUCAAAGAAUGCAAAACUAAAGGUUAAAACACUUAAACAAACCUAAAACACAAAACAGCAACCUAAUGACUCAAAACUGCCUAAAAACCACUUGCUGGGCAGUUUUGAGAACCUAACAAGAACUUGGACGAAAUUGGGUGAAAACUUGAAUCGAAACACUUAGAAACACAAAUCAAAACACUUUCUAACUAAUCUAAGACUUCAAAAUAAAGGGGGAUUUGUUUUGGACGAAAAUUGAAAACAAAACAGAAACUUAAAACUAAACAGAUUGUAAAACGUUUUUGGAUGAAAAGGAUGGAUAAAAGGCUAGUUAGGAGGUUCUUCUCCACACAUGUCACACUUGCAAACGAAACGAUUUUCAGUUGUUCUUCCAAUAAAUUAUAAAUACUCAACGCUCCAAAUUAACCGUGAAUUGCACUAAUUAACCCUCAGUUUUUCCACAAGUUAUUAGGUUGGAUGAUUGCAUACGACAACCCAAAACAUUCCCUACAAGUUCCCUACAUGAAUUGCAUAAUAGAGAUACAAGCACGAAUCAUUACGUUCUAUGAAAAACAUAAGCAUUGACGAAGCAUUUGUUACUAUGAAUUGCAUGAAACUUAUGCUAAGAAUUCAUUCAACGUGAUCGUUUUCAAGCGACCUUCACUACUUGUGAUUAUAAGAUUGUAACUAUUAGGUGAAACUCCCUCAUAAUCUAGCAUCAUAUUCAUGCAUGAAAACUAAGCGUGCACUCUCAAUCAACAUACACAAAUGAGUUAUCAAUCAAAUAGAUGAACGAAUUGAAUCCAUAACUUAUGAAAUAACAACUGAAUGUAAUCAAAUCAUAUUGCAAGCAUGUACAUGGUUUCGAAUUACCCCCCAACUAAGGGGUUUAGUUCCUCAUACUCACAACACAAAGUUUAUUGAAUUGAAACAUCGAAGACAUAAGAAAGAUUACACCUAAAACGCCCAACAAUUCUACUUUGAAUUUCUGACUUCAAGCUCCUCUUUCUUCUUCUCCUUGCUGCGGCAGAGAGGUUUUAGGGUAUUUUUGGAUGUGAUUUUGGUUUUAGAAGGGAGUUAGGAUGGUAUGGUGGUGCGGCAAGGGGUAUGGAUGGUGUAUGGAGGUGUAGAAUGGUGGCUGGAGGUGUAGACUGGUUGCGGCAAGGAGUGGGGAGUGGCUGGUUUGGAUGGAGGAGUGGCGGCUAAGGGUGUAAGGAUGAUGGUGGCUGCGGCAAGGUGGGGAAAUAAGGUUGGAAUAAUUUCUGAAGUAUGGAGAGGUGAUGUGUGCGGCUAGGUGUAGAAAUAUAUAUAUAGGCACUUAAAAAUCCUAGCCAAUCAGAUUAGGGUUUCUAGAAACCCAAAUCCACCAGAAAAAUAGGUUAAACAAUCAGAAAUUUUGUGAGAAAAGGGCCUAAGGUGCGGCAAUUAAGUGGGCUAGGGUUAGGGCUUCUAGAAAGCCUUGCAAGGCAAGGAAAUAUGUGUUCUAGAAGGGGAAAGGUGCGGCUGGUUAGUGGGAAUGUGGAUAGGGCUUCUAAAAAGCCCAAAACCAAGAGAAACUAAGCCCUAACCCACGGCAAGGAUGACAAAAUAUUCUAACACCUUUCUUUGUGUCUUCCAACGCUUCGGAACCUUCUAAUGUUGCUCAAACGCAAGGCCAUUCCGGUUUAGGAAAGAUCAACCCAAAAUGGAAACUUUUAGGCUUAGCUUUCCUACUUCAAGUAGGAAACCUCAAAUCUUCAACUCUUCAAUUUCAUCCCAACCUUGUGUUCCAAGCAUGUCCUGAUGUGUAAAUUAACUAGCACUCAAAUUAAACCCUCUUUUUAUCAAUUGUAGCAAUGUAUGUAAGUAGGGAUCGUUCUAGACCGGGGAUUAGGAGGGAUUGCAAAAUCACUUGGACAUGACUCAAAAACGUAAAAACAAGUUUUAAACACUAAAAUAGACUCAAAGAAUACAAAACUAAACUUUAAAACACCAAAACAAACCAAAAGACUCAAAACAGCACCAAAACACUCAAAACUGCCUUAAAAACACAAUCUGGGCAGUUUUGGACACUAAGCACCAAAUUGGACGAAUUUGGGUUUUAACUUGAAUCAAAACACUUAAAAACACAAAGUAAAACACUUACUAACUAAUUUGACACUUUAAAACAAAGGGGGAUUGGUUUUGGCCGAAUUUAAAAACAAAACAAACUUUGUAAAUUAGAACAGAUUGUAAAAACGAAUUUGAUUUAAAUGGGUGAAUGGAAGGCUAGCUAAGGGGUUCAUCUCCCCACAUGUUAUACUUGCAUACGAAACGAUUUCCAAUUGCUUUUCAAUAAACCAUGAAUUCUCAAUGCCCCAAGUUAAUUAGGUCCGCUUAAAUUAACCUUCCGAUUUUCCUAACGGUAUUGAAUUGGAUGAUUGCAUACGACAACCCAAAACAUUCCCCACAAGUCCCCUACAUGAUUGCAUAAUAGAGAUACAAGCAAGAAUCAUUAAGUUCUAUGAAAACCAAAAGCAUUGACGAAGCACUUGUUACUAUGAUUGCAUGAAACUUAUGCCAAGAAUUUACUUAACGCGAUUGAGAUCAUCAACCUUUACUACUUGUGAAUAUAAUUCCAAACGAUUAGGUGAAAUUUCCUUAUAUCCUAGCAUUCAAUUUAUGCAUGAUAAUUAAGCGUGCACUCUCAACCAACACACACAAAUCAAUGUAAUCCACAUAGAUAAGUAAAUUGAAUUCACAACUUAUGAAACGCAAUUAGAAGUAAUCAAAUCAUAACGCAAGCAUAAACAUAUAUUUCGAAUCCCCCCCUAGCCAAGGGGGGGUUUAGUUCCUCAUACGCACAAAACAAAGAGAAUUGAAUUUAAACAUUGAAAUCAAAGGAAAAGAAACACCUAGAAAUUCCAGCGACGCGAACUUGAAUUGCAUGAACUUCCGAGCUUCCUUCUCCUCCUCCUUGGUGCGGCAAGGGUCUAGGGACAGGUUUUAGAGCCUUAGGGGUAUGGAUGCAUGGUUAUGGAGGGAUGUAGUAGUGUUUAGGGAAAGGGAAAUGGUUGCGGCAAAGGUGUGGAGAGGGUUUGGACGAAUUUCUGGAGUGAUUUGUGAAUUGUGGCGAGUGGUGAUCUGAUUUAGGGGUUAAUAGGAGUAUAUAUAGGCACUUAAAACCCUAGGGUAAUCAGAUAUGGACUUGGAUAACCCAAAUCCACAAGGAAAUAGGUCUAAACAAUCAAAUUUUGCAAGGGAAAAGGGGUCCUAGGUGCGGCAGGGAUAGGAUAAGGUGAUAAGGUUUCUAGAAUGCCUUGCAAGGCAAGGAACUAGGCAUCUAGAAGCUAGGGUGCGGCACCAAUGUAGGGAUUUAAGGAUAGGGCUUCUAGAAAGCCCCAAAACUGAUAGGAAUUGCAUGAAACCCACGGCAAAGAUGUAAACUUUCUAGAAACUUCUCAUUUGUGUCCUACAACACUUUGGAGUCCUUCUAGCACUAGGAAAACAUGUCUCAAUCCUCCCUUGACUUGGAAUUCUUCUCCUUCUUCAUCUUGGAUUCCUUUUCCUUCUUCAUCUUGGAAAACUUCUUUGUUGCUGAAACUUGAUGCCAUUUGGAUUUAACUUUCCUACUUCAAGUAGGAAACCUUGUUUGAGUAGGAAUCUUCAUCUUCAAGGAAUCCUAAUUCAACUAGGAAACCCAUUUUGACUAGGAAUCCUAAUUCAACUAGGAUUCCAUCUUCACUUAGGCGCUUUCCUACUUCGACUAGGAAACCUUGUUCAAGUAGGAAACAUCAUCUUCAAAUCUUCAAUUUCGUCCAUCCUCUUGGCUCCAAGCAUAUGACAUUCAUUCCAAGCUCAACUUUGCUCCAAAAGGCUCCAAAAUGCAUCAUUUUGCAUACUUUGCCCUUAGAACCUGAAAACACAUAAAACUACCUUAAAAGACUACUUUACUUAAGCAAAAACACUAUAAAUGUACAAGAACAAGCUAAACUAAGGCGCAUAAAUAUGCUCCUAUCAUCUGGGAAUGUCUCUAUGAUAGGCACGACAUCCUCCUCAUGCACCAUACGGCUUAGGUGGUCAGCCACCACGUUUUCACUUCCCUUCUUGUCCCGGAUUUCGAUAUCGAACUCUUGAAGAAGAAGCAUCCAACGAAUGGGUCGUGGUUUGGCCUCCUUCUUGGUGAACAAAUACUUCAAUGCUGCAUGGUCCGUAUAAAUAAUAACUUUAGUACCAAGCAAAUAAGAACGGAAUUUAUCUAAAGCAAGUACAACAGCAAGAAGUUCUUUUUCAGUGGUAGAAUAAUUCAAUUGUGCAUCAUUUAAAGUCCGAGAGGCAUAAUAGAUAACAUGCGGCCUCUUGUCCUUCCUUUGCCCCAAAACAGCUCCUGAUGCAUAAUCGGAAGCAUCGAACAUAAGCUCAAAAGGAAGGCUCCAAUCCGGUGGAACUAUGAUAGGUGCCGAAGUUAGCAUGUCCUUGAGGUGAUUGAACGCCUUCUCACACUCCUUGUUGAAGAUGCCACAUCUUUCUGGAGGAGACGGCAAAGAGGGUUUGAGAUCUUGGAGAAGUCCUUGAUAAAUCGCCUAUAAAAUCCUGCAUGACCAAGAAACGAACGAACCUCUCGAACCGAAGUAGGAGAGGGUAAGUAGCGUACAAGAUCUAUUUUCGAUUUAUCCACUUCAAUUCCUCUUUCUGAAACAAUAUGCCCUAGAACUAUGCCUUGUCUAACCAUAAAGUGACAUUUUUCCCAAUUAAGCACAAGGUUAGUUUCUACACAUCGUUUCAAAAUUAUUGUGAGAUUUUCCAAACAUCCAUCAAAUGAAUCACCAAACACACUGAAAUCAUCCAUAAAUACCUCAAUAAUCUUUUCCACAAAAUCUGAAAAGAUACUUACCAUACACCUUUGAAAUGUGGCCAGAGCAUUGCAUAACCCAAAAGGCAUGCGACGAUAAGCAAAGGUACCAAAGGGGCAUGUGAAAGUUGUCUUUUCUUGGUCAUCCGGCGCUAUGACAAUCUGAUUAUAUCCAGAAUAACCAUCAAGGAAACAAUAAAAAGAAUGACCGGCUAACCUUUCAAGCAUUUGAUCAAUGAACGGCAAAGGGAAGUGGUCCUUCCUUGUGGUGGCGUUGAGCUUCCUAUAAUCAAUGCACACUCGCCAACCUGUUUGGAUGCGGGUUGGCACAAGCUCAUUCUCGGCAUUCUUCACCACUGUCACUCCGGACUUCUUUGGAACACAUUGCACCGGUGACACCCAACGACUAUCAGAGAUCGGAUAAAUCACUCCACAAUCAAGAAGUUUGAUAAUCUCCUUUUUCACAACUUCCAUCAUUGGAGGGUUGAGACGGCACUGAGCCUCUCGAGUUGGUUUAGCCCCCUCCUCUAGAAGUAUGCGAUGCAUGCACGUAGUCGGGCUAAUUCCCCUAAUAUCGGCCAAAGUCCACCCAAUGGCCGUCUUGUGCUCUUUCAACACUCGGAUCAACUUCUCCUCCUCUAGGGCCGUGAGUGAUGAGGAGACAAUGACGGGCAAUGUCUCGUUGUCUACCAGAAAGACAUACUUUAAAUGAUCGGGCAACGGUUUAAGCUCAAGUACGGGUGCCUGAAUCACUGAGGGUAACAACUUAUUAGUGGAAACUGGAAUUGAAAUUGGGUUAGAAGGCUUACCAUGGUGUUGAGGUAGUGACUCAAGGGCAGCCACUAUCUCGGCCUCCUCCUCACUUCUAGGCACGGGGAUUAGGAGGGAUUGCUAAACACUUGGAAACUGACUUAAAAACUCAAAAACAAAGUUUAAAACACUAAACUAGACUCAAAGAAUGCAAAACUAAAGGUUAAAACACUUAAACAAACCUAAAACUCAAAACAGCAACCUAAUGACUCAAAACUGCCUAAAAACCACUUUCUGGGCAGUUUUGAGAAACCUAACAAGAACUUGGACGAAAUUGGGUGAAAACUUGAAUCAAAACACUUAGAAACACAAAUCAAAACACUUUCUAACUAAUCUAAGACUUCAAAAUAAAGGGGGAUUGUUUUUGGACGAAAAUUGAAAACAAAAACAGAAACUUAAAACUAAACAGAUUGUAAAAACGUUUUUUGGAUGAAAAGGAUGGAUAAAAGGCUAGUAAGGGUCCAAAACAAUGAAUUUGACCCUAAGGAGUUGUUUAAGUCUCCCCCUUGUGUUUUAAAGUUAAUUUCUGCAAUCUAAGUGAAUUCUAAGUCUCAAUUUCAUUGCUUUGCUUACUAUUGCUUGAAGAACGUUUGUUUUCCUUAUCCUUUCCUUGUUAACCAACACCCCAAGCCCCAUUACAACCCUUAACUUCUAUCUUGAGUGUUAUGUGUUUCAAUUUGUGGAGUUUGAAUUUGGUAUGAGCAUAUGGUGUCACUGGUUCUCGCAUCUAAGUAGUAGCAUUCCAUUCAUGAGAUCAUAUCUAAACAUGCGUCUUAACUCCAGAAAUUGCGUUCGUUGUGAUACAUAUAUGUGAGCAUUCGUUUUCAUAUCUACAUCAAUCUUCUCACAUAUGACUAGUGUAGGGUGUGGAGUUAGAAAAUCUGAGUGAAAAUAGAGUGUAUAUCUUGUAAGGAAUUGAGGGAAUUCUCUAAGGCAUGUUACUACAUUCAAAGCAUUGUUUUAAUUGAUUACUUGUGAACUAGUGAGUAGUGGCUUUAAUUAAGUAUAUGCUUGUGUAAAGAUGACUCAAAUCUGUGGGGAUAACAACCUUUAACAUGUCAUGUGCAUUGGAAAUCCCUGAGGCAAACGUUGGAAGGUUUAGGUUUUGUUUUGGUUAGUUUGUUUCGUUUUGUUUUCUUUCUUUUGUUUGUUUUGCUCGAGGACUAGCAAAAGCUAAGUGUGGGGGAAUUUGAUAGGAGCAUAUUUAUGCGCCUUAGUUAGCUAGUUCUUAUGCAUUUUUGUUAUGUUUUCUUUGUUAAAGUAGUCUUUUAAGCUACUUUCUUGUGUUUUCAGGUUUAGCGGACGUAUUACAUGAAAUGAUACAAUUUGGAGCUUUUGGAGCAAAAAGUGAGCUUGAAUUGAAAAGGACAUGCUUGGAACGCAAGGUUGGGAUGGAAUUGAAGAGUUGAAGAUUUGAGGUUUCCUACUUGAAGUAGGAAAGCUAAGCCUAAAAGUUUCCAUUUUGGGUCGAUCUUUCCUAAAUCGGAAUUGGCAACCAAAGUUUCUAAAAGUUGGAAGUUUCUAUUCUUGGAGGUUUCCAUUUUCGAGAGUUUCUAUUCUUGGCGUUGGGCUUUUAGAUGACCUAAACCCAAAUUUCCUUGUGGACCUUCAACCCAUGCCGAACCCUAGGGCCUAAUCAUCUAAAAUCUGCCAUGUUAAACCCUAGUCCAUUUCUCCUAAACCCAAGCCGCACCUUUCCACCUAGAAGCCCUAUUUUACAAACCCUAAACCCUAGUCCACUUAAGUGCCGCACCUAACCCUAGCCCAUUGUUAAAAAUCUGAUUUCAUUAGGGUUUCUAAGUGCCUAUAUAUACCACCCUUACACCCUAGCCGCAGAUAUCAUUCCCUCUACACAAAAUCAGAAAAUCACCAUCACCCUAAUCCCCUCCUUGCCGCAGCCACCACCCAUUCCAGCAACCUUUCCCACCUUUUGCCGCAGCUUCCAUCCAUUCCAGCACCAUUCCACACAUCCAUACACCAUUCUCCACCUCCAUAAACCAUUCCCACACCUUGCCGCACCACCAUACUAUCCUAUCUACCUUUCAAAAACCCAAAAACACAUCCAGAAAACUCCAUUCACGCCAGAACCUGUCCCUCACCUUUGCCGAGCCCAACCUUCACCCAACUCCAUAUUUUCUGACCCCAAACCUUCCUAGCCGUGCCCUACACCCAUCCUAGACAUUUUUCCACCAUUCUCCCUCGUCCAAAAAUCAUCCAAAACUACCCAAAAAUCCCCUAAACCCUCUCUGCCGCAGCAAGGAGAAGAAGAAAGAGGAGCUUGCUGUGCAGAAUUCAAAGUGGAAUUCUUUGGCAUUUUAGGUGUAAUCUUUCUUAUGUCUUCGAUGUUUCAAUUCAAUAAACUUUGUGUUGUGAGUAUGAGGAACUAAACCCCCUUAGUUGGGGGGUGAUUCGAAACCAUGUACAUGCUUGCAAUUUGAUUCGAUUAACAUUCAGUUGUUAUUUCAUAAGUUAUGGAUUCAAUUCGUUCAUCUAUUUGAUUGAUAACUUAUUUGUGUAUGUUGAUUGAGAGUGCACGCUUAGUUUUCAUGCAUGAAUAUGAUGCUAGAUUAUGAGGGAGUUUCACCUAAUAGUUACAAUCUUAUAAUCACAAGUAGUGAAGAUCGCUUGAAAACGAUCGCGUUGAAUGAAUUCUUAGCAUAAGUUUCAUGCAAUUCAUAGUAACAAAUGCUUCGUCAAUGCUUAUGUUUUUCAUAGAACGUAAUGAUUCUUGCUUGUAUCUCUAUUAUGCAAUUCAUGUAGGGAACUUGUAGGGAAUGUUUUGGGUUGUCGUAUGCAAUCAUCCAACUUAAUAACUUGUGGAAAAACUGAGGGUUAAUUAGUGCAAUUCACGGUUAACUUGGGGCGUUGAGUAUUCAUAGUUUAUCGGAAGAACAACUGAAAAUCGUUUUGUUUGCAAGUGUGACAUGUGUGGAGAAGAACCUCCUAACUAGCCUUUUAACCAUCUAUUUCACCAAAAUCGUUUUUACAAUCUGCCCUAUUCCAAUCUGUUUUCUUUAGUUUAAUUUUCGUCAAAACAAAAUCCCCCUUUAAUUUGAAGUCUUAGAUUAGUUAGAAAGUGUUUUGAUUUGUGUUUCUAAGUAUUUUGAUUCAAGUUUUCAUCAAAUUUCGUCCAAAUUAGUGUAGGUGCUCAAAACUGCCCAGAAAGUGGUUUUUAGGCAGUUUUGAGCCUUCUAGUUGCUGUUUUGGUUUUUAGGUUUGUUUAAGUGUUUUAACUUUUAGUUUUGCAUUCUUUGAGUCUAGUUUAGUGUUUUUAACUUUGAUUUUGAGUGUUUAAGUCAGUUUCCAAGCGUUUAGCAAUCCCUCCUAAUCCCCGGUCUAGAACGAUCCCUACUUACAUCUUUGCUACAAUUUGACAAAAAGAGGGUUUAAUUUGUGUGUCAAGUUAAUUUUCACAUCAGUGGGGAAAUAGGGUUGGAUGAAUUUCUGAAUUGUGUAGCAAUGAUAUCCCCGCGGCAAGGAUGUAAAACACAUAUAUAUAGGCACCUAAAACCCUAAAGAAAUCAGAUUAGACUAUGGGCUAGGGUUUAGGUGCGGCAAAGGGCUUAAAGUCCAUCAGAAAAUAGGGUUUCUAGAACAUUAGGUGCGGCCCAAACCCUAGGGGAGAUAGAUUAGGGUUUAACUUGGCAGAAAUUAGGUGAUUAGGCCCUAGGGUGCGGCAUAGGCUUAGGAUCCACAAGGAAUUAGGGUUUAGAUCAUCUCAAAGCCCAAAGCUAAGAAUAGAAACUCACGAAAAUGGAAACCUCCAAGAAUAGGAACUUCCAACUUUAGAAACUUUGGUUGCCAAUUCCGACUUCUUUGUUCUUCACUUUUAUUUCUUCAUUUCUUAAGCUCCUUUGACCUUCAAACUCGUCCAUUCCUCGUGCUCCAUUAGCAUACACAACAUUCCGGCUCAAUUUUGCUCCAAAAAGCUCCAAAUUGCAUCAUUUCAUGUAAUAUGUCCUUUAAACCUGAAAACACAUGAAAGUAGCUUAAAAGACUACUUUAACGAAGAGAACAUAACGAAAAUGCAUAAAAACUAGCUAACUAAGGCGCAUAAAUAUGCUCCUAUCAAAUUCCCCCACACUUAGCUUUUGCUAGUCCUCGAGCAAAACAAAGAAACAAAAGAAAAACAAAAUGAAACAAAACAAACAAAACACAACCUAAACCUUCCAACGUUUGCCUCAGGGAUUUCCAAUGCACAUGACGUAUUAAAGAUUGUUAUCCCCACAGAUUUGAGUCAUCUUUACACAAGCACAUACUUAAUUAAAGCCACUACUCACUAGUUCACAAGUAAUCAAUUAAAACAAUGCUUUGAAUGUAGUAACAUGCCUUAGAGAAUUCCCUCAAUUCCUUACAAGAUAUACACUCUAUUUUCACUCAGAUUUUCUAACUCCACACCCUACACUAGUCAUAUGUGAGAAGAUUGAUGUAGAUAUGAAAACGAAUGCUCACAUAUAUGUUUCACAAAGAACGCAAUUUCUAGAGUUAAGAAGCAUGUUUAGAUAUGAUCUCAUGAAUGGAAUGCUACUACUUAGAUGCGAGAACCAGUGACACCAUAUGCUCAUACCAAAUUCAAACUCCACAAAUUGAAACACAUAACACUCAAG
RNAcentral lists this long non-coding RNA (18800 nucleotides) under Malus domestica (apple). RNAcentral's name for it is "long non-coding RNA (MDOM_LNC021176)". The record is from RNAcentral. Lineage: Eukaryota; Viridiplantae; Streptophyta; Magnoliopsida; Rosales; Rosaceae.